CAAGAUUGGUAACCAACACUAA
Molecule: microRNA, 22 nt
Filed under: Ciona intestinalis (vase tunicate)
Lineage: Eukaryota; Metazoa; Chordata; Ascidiacea; Phlebobranchia; Cionidae
Description: cin-miR-4003b-3p
Source: miRBase by way of RNAcentral